Molecule: small nuclear RNA, 186 nt
Organism: Scleropages formosus (Asian bonytongue)
Lineage: Eukaryota; Metazoa; Chordata; Actinopteri; Osteoglossiformes; Osteoglossidae
Gene: U2
Rfam family: U2 spliceosomal RNA
About the family: U2 is a small nuclear RNA (snRNA) component of the spliceosome (involved in pre-mRNA splicing). Complementary binding between U2 snRNA (in an area lying towards the 5' end but 3' to hairpin I) and the branchpoint sequence (BPS) of the intron results the bulging out of an unpaired adenosine, on the BPS, which initiates a nucleophilic attack at the intronic 5' splice site, thus starting the first of two transesterification reactions that mediate splicing.
Source: Ensembl
ACCUUUAUUUUAGCAAAGCUGAAGUUAAAAACAUGUGAUGUGUUCUUAUCAGUUUAAUAUCUGAUACGUCCCCUAUCUGGGGACCAUAUCUUAAAUUGAGGAACAGGGAGAUGGAAUAGGGGCUUGCUUCAUCCACUCUCUGCAUCGACCUGGUACUGUAGUACCUCCAGGAACGGAACUCAAGCG